This 497-nucleotide ribosomal RNA is filed under the name uncultured bacterium. Its description in RNAcentral is "partial 16S ribosomal RNA". It matches the Rfam family "Bacterial small subunit ribosomal RNA", at positions 28 to 507 of the family's 1533-position model. The record is from RNAcentral.
GACGAACGCUGGCGGCGUGCCUAAUACAUGCAAGUAGAACGCUGAAGCGAGGAGCUUACUCUUCUUGGAUGAGUUGCGAACGGGUGAGUAACGCGUAGGUAACCUGCCUUGUAGCGGGGGAUAACUAUUGGAAACGAUAGCUAAUACCGCAUAACAAUGGAUGACACAUGUCAUUUAUUUGAAAGGGGCAAUUGCUCCACUACAAGAUGGACCUGCGUUGUAUUAGCUAGCAGGUGAGGUAAUGGCUCACCUAGGCGACGAUACAUAGCCGACCUGAGAGGGUGAUCGGCCACACUGGGACUGAGACACGGCCCAGACUCCUACGGGAGGCAGCAGUAGGGAAUCUUCGGCAAUGGGGGCAACCCUGACCGAGCAACGCCGCGUGAGUGAAGAAGGUUUUCGGAUCGUAAAGCUCUGUUGUAAGUCAAGAACGGGUGUGAGAGUGGAAAGUUCACACUGUGACGGUAGCUGACCAGAAAGGGACGGCUAACUACGUG